GAAAUGGUUUUCUGUCUAUAUAAGAAAAACAAACCCUCCAACAACCAAAUUAUUUUUCCAUAUCUUCUCUUACUUUCUUUUUCUUUCUUCUUUCACUAAGAAAACCAAGCCAAGAUGAAGAAGACAUCGAAACUACUGAUCAUGAUCCUCCUUUUCGUCCUCUCUUUCGUCUUUUCCUCUUUAGCUGUUCCUACAUCAAGAAGCCUAAAGUCAGGUGCAGAUUAUAAUAUCCAUCCAUCAUUCCAGGAGUUCAUGCCUCAACUGACCCAAAAGGAUGGAUUUGGGGAAAGAAGAAAGAUGAUAGAGUUAACAGAUUACCCAGGAACAGGAGCCAACAAUCAGCACAAUCCAAAACCUCCGGGAACUGUUUGAUUGUUAAUUAAUACCAUUCAUAAUAAAUAUAUUUAUACUUGUGUUACAUCUGUUUAAUUUGUGCAUCAAUGAAUGCCAGUAUUCAAGUAGUUAUUUGUCAAAUAAUAAACCAGUCAUUUGUAACAAGGGACUAUUCCUCAAUGAAAAGUCAUUGAAAAAUAUUUAUAAAAUGCUUAA
Long non-coding RNA from Impatiens glandulifera, 549 nucleotides. RefSeq lists it as uncharacterized. The record is from RefSeq and is a predicted model, not a curated record. The transcript is spliced from 3 exons. Lineage: Eukaryota; Viridiplantae; Streptophyta; Magnoliopsida; Ericales; Balsaminaceae.